This 22-nucleotide microRNA is filed under the name Ornithorhynchus anatinus (platypus). RNAcentral's name for it is "Oan-Mir-430-P53_5p* (star (passenger))". The record is from RNAcentral. Lineage: Eukaryota; Metazoa; Chordata; Mammalia; Monotremata; Ornithorhynchidae.
AUUCGAUCAGCCUGCACUCUCU